AUUGAACGCUGGCGGCAUGCUUUACACAUGCAAGUCGGACGGCAGCACAGAGAAGCUUGCUUCUUGGGUGGCGAGUGGCGAACGGGUGAGUAAUAUAUCGGAACGUACCGAGUAAUGGGGGAUAACUAAUCGAAAGAUUAGCUAAUACCGCAUAUUCUCUGAGGAGGAUAGCAGGGGACCUUCGGGCCUUGCGUUAUUCGAGCGGCCGAUAUCUGAUUAGCUAGUUGGUGGGGUAAAGGCCUACCAAGGCGACGAUCAGUAGCGGGUCUGAGAGGAUGAUCCGCCACACUGGGACUGAGCCACGGCCCAGACUCCUACGGGAGGCAGCAGUGGGGAAUUUUGGACAAUGGGCGCAAGCCUGAUCCAGCCAUGCCGCGUGUCUGAAGAAGGCCUUCGGGUUGUAAAGGACUUUUGUCAGGGAAGAAAAGGCUGUUGCUAAUACCGACAGCUGAUGACGGUACCUGAAGAAUAAGCACCGGCUAACUACGUG
This 490-nucleotide ribosomal RNA is filed under the name uncultured bacterium. RNAcentral's name for it is "partial 16S ribosomal RNA". It matches the Rfam family "Bacterial small subunit ribosomal RNA", at positions 30 to 507 of the family's 1533-position model. The record is from RNAcentral.